AUGCCCCCCGACGAGCCCUUCGUGCUCCGCUUGAACGAGAGCCUCGCCUUCGAGCCAGGUGGGGCGAGUCCAGGGCGAGUCCAGGUGGAUCGAGCGAUGACGGGGCGGGGCGGCGAGCUUGCGCCCCUGGCCGCCCUCGACCUCGCCAUGGGGCGUCUCCGGGUCCUCGGCGUCGGCGCCCUUGGCCGACUUCGACCGCGUCAUGGCACGCCGUCAAGCACGCCGGGCGCGUCAUGGUGCCGCGGCUGCAUCCUCUGCACGGGGAGCACCACGGGGAUGAUGGGCGGGGUCGCGGUGCUCCCCUACAGCCUCUCGAAGGCGAUGGUGGUGAGCGUGGUGCGGCUGGUGGCAGAGGAGCUGGCGCGCGACGGCGUGCGCGUCAACGCCAUCUCGCCGCACGCCAUGCUACGCCGCUGCUGGUCCGGUCGCUGGCGAGGGCGCACCCGGGCUAGGCGCUGCUUGCACGCGGGCACGCGGCCGAGGAGGACGCCGUCGAGCUCGCCGAGAUGCACCGCGCUGGAGCAGUUGCGCGUCGACGGCCUCCCCGGACGGCUACGAGGCGCUAGAGAAGGAAUCGGGGCUGGCCUUCGCCUCGAGCACUCCGUACGCCGACCACGCGCGCUCCAGUUGAACGUUGGACUCCUCCGGCGCUGCUCCGCCCCGCACGGACGCGCUCCACGCUCGAGAGAAAGGGGCAGGGGAGAGGAGAGAGGAAAAGAGAGGAGAGAGGUCGUGGGAGGCCGACGGUGGGCCAACCGCAAGGAAAAGGCAUCGCCGGCACGCCCAGCUGCUUCCCUGGGGGUGGGUUUGGGGUGA
RNAcentral lists this ribosomal RNA (816 nucleotides) under Triticum aestivum (bread wheat). RNAcentral's name for it is "partial small subunit ribosomal RNA". Lineage: Eukaryota; Viridiplantae; Streptophyta; Magnoliopsida; Poales; Poaceae. The record is from RNAcentral.